This is a non-coding RNA of Gossypium raimondii (Peruvian cotton), 133 nucleotides long. NCBI's taxonomy places the organism in Eukaryota, Viridiplantae, Streptophyta, Magnoliopsida, Malvales, Malvaceae. The record is from Rfam.
UUUUAAAAAUUUUAUUUAUUUGUACUAUUAAAAACUAGUGCGACUGACAAAAUAACCAAACAAUGUCACAUGUACCUCAUAUCAACAUACAAGAACCAAUUUUUAAUAAUAGAAAUGAAUAAAAUAUUUAACA